This 1427-nucleotide ribosomal RNA is filed under the name Lactiplantibacillus plantarum. RNAcentral's name for it is "bacterial SSU rRNA". It matches the Rfam family "Bacterial small subunit ribosomal RNA". Lineage: Bacteria; Bacillati; Bacillota; Bacilli; Lactobacillales; Lactobacillaceae. The record is from RNAcentral.
GUCGAACGAACUCUGGUAUUGAUUGGUGCUUGCAUCAUGAUUUACAUUUGAGUGAGUGGCGAACUGGUGAGUAACACGUGGGAAACCUGCCCAGAAGCGGGGGAUAACACCUGGAAACAGAUGCUAAUACCGCAUAACAACUUGGACCGCAUGGUCCGAGUUUGAAAGAUGGCUUCGGCUAUCACUUUUGGAUGGUCCCGCGGCGUAUUAGCUAGAUGGUGAGGUAACGGCUCACCAUGGCAAUGAUACGUAGCCGACCUGAGAGGGUAAUCGGCCACAUUGGGACUGAGACACGGCCCAAACUCCUACGGGAGGCAGCAGUAGGGAAUCUUCCACAAUGGACGAAAGUCUGAUGGAGCAACGCCGCGUGAGUGAAGAAGGGUUUCGGCUCGUAAAACUCUGUUGUUAAAGAAGAACAUAUCUGAGAGUAACUGUUCAGGUAUUGACGGUAUUUAACCAGAAAGCCACGGCUAACUACGUGCCAGCAGCCGCGGUAAUACGUAGGUGGCAAGCGUUGUCCGGAUUUAUUGGGCGUAAAGCGAGCGCAGGCGGUUUUUUAAGUCUGAUGUGAAAGCCUUCGGCUCAACCGAAGAAGUGCAUCGGAAACUGGGAAACUUGAGUGCAGAAGAGGACAGUGGAACUCCAUGUGUAGCGGUGAAAUGCGUAGAUAUAUGGAAGAACACCAGUGGCGAAGGCGGCUGUCUGGUCUGUAACUGACGCUGAGGCUCGAAAGUAUGGGUAGCAAACAGGAUUAGAUACCCUGGUAGUCCAUACCGUAAACGAUGAAUGCUAAGUGUUGGAGGGUUUCCGCCCUUCAGUGCUGCAGCUAACGCAUUAAGCAUUCCGCCUGGGGAGUACGGCCGCAAGGCUGAAACUCAAAGGAAUUGACGGGGGCCCGCACAAGCGGUGGAGCAUGUGGUUUAAUUCGAAGCUACGCGAAGAACCUUACCAGGUCUUGACAUACUAUGCAAAUCUAAGAGAUUAGACGUUCCCUUCGGGGACAUGGAUACAGGUGGUGCAUGGUUGUCGUCAGCUCGUGUCGUGAGAUGUUGGGUUAAGUCCCGCAACGAGCGCAACCCUUAUUAUCAGUUGCCAGCAUUAAGUUGGGCACUCUGGUGAGACUGCCGGUGACAAACCGGAGGAAGGUGGGGAUGACGUCAAAUCAUCAUGCCCCUUAUGACCUGGGCUACACACGUGCUACAAUGGAUGGUACAACGAGUUGCGAACUCGCGAGAGUAAGCUAAUCUCUUAAAGCCAUUCUCAGUUCGGAUUGUAGGCUGCAACUCGCCUACAUGAAGUCGGAAUCGCUAGUAAUCGCGGAUCAGCAUGCCGCGGUGAAUACGUUCCCGGGCCUUGUACACACCGCCCGUCACACCAUGAGAGUUUGUAACACCCAAAGUCGGUGGGGUAACCUUUUAGGAACCAGC